AAUCAUGCUCAUUGGUCGAAAGCCUGACGCAGCCAUGCCGUGUGAUUGAAGAUGGUCUUAUGAUUGUAAAUUUCUUUCUCCGGGGACGAUAAUAACGGUACCCCGAGAAGCAGAUCCUGCUAACCUCUUGCCAGCAGCCGCGGUAAUACGAAGGGUGCUAGCGUUGCUCGGAAUUACUGCGCGUAAAGGGCGCGUAGGUGGACAUUUAAGUCAGGGGUGAAAUCCCAGAGCUCAAAUCUGGAACUGCCUUUGAUACUGGGUGUCUUGAGUGUGAGAGAGGUAUGUGGAACUCCGAGUGUAGAGGUGAAAUUCGUAGAUAUUCGGAAGAACACCAGUGGCGAAGGCGACAUACUGGCUCAUUACUGACGCUGAGGCGCGAAAGCGUGGGGAGCAAACA
This 397-nucleotide ribosomal RNA is filed under the name uncultured bacterium. RNAcentral's name for it is "partial 16S ribosomal RNA". It matches the Rfam family "Bacterial small subunit ribosomal RNA", at positions 360 to 774 of the family's 1533-position model. The record is from RNAcentral.